CGGAACAACACCAUUCGAUGAAAGAAAACUAAUUUUAAAAACUAAAAUAUAAAACGUCCACUUUGCUACAGAAGUCUUAUUAUCGAAAUUGGAGACGCCUUUCCUGUCAACAGACCGGUUUCGUUUCUUUUUGACUUCAUGCAAUGCCCUUUGGUUAUGUUUUCACCCUGAUUUGUAAGUUCUGAGUGGAUCAAUGAAUUUAAUCAUAUUGGUAAACUACUCUUGCCUCUUAUGUUAUGUUACCGAUAUGUUCGACAGCUACAAUUUAUGUGUUCAAAUAAAACUACCAAUAACGAUAACACUGAAUUUAUGUUUUUCUACUUUCAGGAUGCACACAACAGAGAUAUAAUAUCAUACAGAGAUGUGUCAAGUGUGGAGGAAUAUCAAAUAACACAGGAUCGUACUGUCAAUCAUGUUUGUGCUAUUUGAGCGACGACAGUGACAUAGAUGUAUUUCCUAGAUCUGGUCAAACAGAGCCAUACGGGGUGCACAAACAAUAACUCUAUUUAUGUAUGUGCGUAUUUUUCUAUCUCAUGUAUAUUGUGG
Molecule: long non-coding RNA, 546 nt
Filed under: Mytilus galloprovincialis (Mediterranean mussel)
Lineage: Eukaryota; Metazoa; Mollusca; Bivalvia; Mytilida; Mytilidae
Source: RNAcentral